Molecule: unclassified non-coding RNA, 280 nt
Filed under: Hevea brasiliensis (rubber tree)
Lineage: Eukaryota; Viridiplantae; Streptophyta; Magnoliopsida; Malpighiales; Euphorbiaceae
Source: RNAcentral
AUAAGACACUUCCGAUAUGUAAUCUACAAAACAUAAUAAUUUAUCCAUGUAAAUAUAUAAAAAUUGGUGUAACUCAUUGGAUAUACAGAUACACUAGGUUUACAUGAUAAUGGUGUUUCAGUAGCUAACUGAGAAAAUUUUCAGUGAGGGAUAUACAGGCUUACUUAGUAGACAAUCAUCACCAGGGAGUUUGCAAUCAGGACAACAACCAUCAAAAGCCAUCAUACAUAUACCACAAGUUUCAUAUUGAGCUUCCCAUGUCCAUGAAGCAACUGUGUGU